RNAcentral lists this long non-coding RNA (337 nucleotides) under Manihot esculenta (cassava). Its description in RNAcentral is "long non-coding RNA (MESC_LNC010173)". Lineage: Eukaryota; Viridiplantae; Streptophyta; Magnoliopsida; Malpighiales; Euphorbiaceae. The record is from RNAcentral.
GAAGUUUGGUUGAAACUAAGGUUGUUUAAAAGGUUGUGAGAUCUGAACAUAAAGUGUUUGCUUUUGAUUUAUUCAAUAUUCAUGCAAUUGUGCUUAAUUCUAAAGAUUGCUUUGUUGUUUUGAUCAAAUUGGCCACUUGAUUCUUGAUUACAAAGUUAAUUGAUUGUUGAUUAGGAUAUUUGUUAGUCCGUAAUUGCUGGAAAUAUUCUGAUCUAAGAACACUUGGUGUAAAAACCAAGAAAUUGCAUGAUCUAGCAACAUCUCAUACGUUUGAGUAGUUAGAGUUUGGAUCUUUCUUGUUCUUCAUGCAAUUGGCAAUUGUUUUGAUGCCUAUGGC